Molecule: long non-coding RNA, 2936 nt
Organism: Zingiber officinale
Lineage: Eukaryota; Viridiplantae; Streptophyta; Magnoliopsida; Zingiberales; Zingiberaceae
Exons: 3
Source: RefSeq, a predicted model, not a curated record
UAAAGAGUUGUUGAGCUUGCGUCCAAACAGCUUUGCAGGUUUUGUGAGUACGGAAGACAUUCCUAAGAGAUGAAUGGAUGGUGGCUCGGAUUAUACAACACAACUGAGCGUCAACCUUCUUCCACAGAGGACGAUCGACGUCUUGAAUAUCUUCUUCAGUUUGAGUGAGAUGUGUCUCAUAUCCCUGUCCAAUAAGCCAAAGUUCAAUGUGAGAUGCCCAGGAAAUAUAAUUUUUACCAUCCAACUGCUCGGAAGAAAGGGGUGCAGUAAUAUGGUUGGUAAAGAUUGAGGUAUCUGGCUUUGGGGCGCCAGAUGUAGCCAUGAAUAGAACUGUGGACCGGACUGCGCUUGCUAAUGGAUGGGUCGGGGAGGAACUGGAGCACCGCUGUGACGAUUUCAGACCUGUCUGUUCUCGACGAAGAGGAGAGCAAAAUGGCUUCUUUGUCAAUAGAUAGUGACGAUUUAUCAAUAAUAUUACAGGCAAAGCCUAAGCCUGAAAAAGUAUAAUCAACUGCAAUCUCCACAAUAUGACAAGCAGGAAAAUCUCAGUGUUGAUGAUGCCCUGUACAAACGGCUGCAAACUGCUCUCAAUGAAUUGGAAAACUCAAGAAGGGGAGCGCAGCUGUGCCCUAGCAGCGCGAGAAGAGGAAAACGCGAAGAAGGGCGUCGGGCGUCGGGCGUCUGGUGUCUGGCGUCCACGAAACAGCAGGCGGGCGUCGGGCGUCCACGAGGCGGAGCUCAGCGUCCACGAACCAGCAGGCGAAGCUCCACGCCGCGAGAGGGAGAGGUGGCGUCGGGUCGGGCGUCCACGAGGCGGAGCUCAGCGUCCACGAACCAGCAGGCGAAGCUCCACGCCGCGAGAGGGAGAGGCGGCGUCGGGUCGAGCGAACUCGCGCGGUGCGGCGCUGGAGAAGAACUCGCGCGGCGCUGGAGAAGAACACGCGCGUCGCUGGAGAAGAACCCGCGUCGCUGGAGAAGAACUUGCGUGUCGCGUGGUGCGGCGCUGGAGAACUCGCGCGGUGCGGAAGAGAAAGGCUCGGCAGAAAGAGACGGCGCGGAUAGAGAAAAGAAAUUAGGGUUUUAACUUGGCUCUGAUACCAUGUUUAAAGUAAAACCUAGAAUCUCGUGUCUCUUUAACCCCCACGAGUUAGGCCUUUAUAUAGGAAAGUAGAUAUACACCAAAAGACACAAAUACCCUUUUACUUAUUCUAACACCUGGAAUAUCCAGUUCAACUUGUAAGUUAUACAACAGGUUUUUAACCAGUCGAGGGUGUUGACCGCUUUGUGCUGCGAAAAUUUUUUCAGUGGUAUCCGUAUAGAGCACAUGAGCAAUCUGUGCAGUAGUCAAAAUAUCCUCGUCAUCCUCCUCUUCACUUAUAUGAGUGGUAGCAAGAUUAGCAAAAUCCCUUUGAAGAUCAUGUUCUAGAAUAAGUUGUUCAUAAAGGUUCUUAUAAUAGGAUACUUCUUGCUUUAAUCUUUCCAUCUCUAAUUCACACCAGGAAAUGUAUUUUUGUUGCUCUUGUAACAAUUUAUUAGGAAAGAAUGAUGUAGGAGCAGGGGGGUAAUAUAGAUACCCGUUGGCCAAAGUAAUAUGGGCCACAAAGAUUACAUCCGGUAAUAAGGCAAUUUGGGCAAUGGAUUUGCACCCGCUUUUGUGUGUCACGUUGGCAUCCCGUACAUUUGGAUGGUUGCGGAGGAUAGUUGUCCCCAUUUGCUAUCCACUGGUGGAUACAUUCAUAUUGCUGAUCCGUUAUUCGAAUUUGCGGUCUAUAACCUCCAUCAACUUGUCCUAACAUAAAAAUGUUUUCAGAGAGUACCAAUGUUUGGAUUGACCUUUGUAGGUCAUUAGUCUCUUCUCCUUCAGAGAUACUGUAAAUAGCAUCACUAAGGUUCUCUCCUUCCUGGACGGAGAGUAUGUCGCAAUCUUCAAGAAUAUCCAGUUGCUCGAACAUGGCAACCCUUUUGCUGCUUCUUUUAUCAUUUGGACAGUCUCUUGCAAAAUGGCCUUCCUGCCCACAAAGAUAGCAUUUGCAUUUUUUAUUUUUUAAUAAAUGCUUAUGUUUUUCCACUCGGGCAUGUGUGUCAUGAGGCUUUCCUUUAUAAGUCUUACUUUGUCGAAGGCCAUAUUUCUUUGCGCCAGACCCUUGAUAAUAUCCAGGGAUAGGUAUUUGACUGCAAAAUGAGAGAUCUUUUAGAGACCUCUUAAAAGCCGCAUCCUUGCAUUCCUGAUCUAGGAAUUUAUAGGCAAACAAUACUCUUGGAAUUACACCAAUUGUCAAACCUUCGUAUUUUGUAUCAAAAGCUUCUUUGAUUUGCUUACCCAGAUCACCAGGCAUUUUGAACCAGAAUUUUUCAGAUAAUUCUGGCCCUGUAUAUAAGCGUUUUGUUUUUGAUGCUAGGCGCAUAUAGUCAUUCAUAUACUGGAGAAUAUUCUUCAUAUUGUCACAUGAGAGCUUUUCUAAAUCUCUGUAUGCUUCAUCCUGUAUUACAGUUGAUCCUUGUGUAGGGAAAAAGACUCUUCUCAUUUGAGAAAGUAUAUUUUGAGUUCUUCGUCUUCCAUCCACUGCCUGAAUAAGAGCAUCAUAUUCUGUUGGAUACAUCAUACGCCACUGGACCUAUACCAGUUUCUCCAUUUCACCAAGUAGAUUUUCCAUAUAUUCAAUUUUUUCAGCAGGAUCAGUAAAUCCUUGAGCGACAACAUGGUUGAGAGUAAUAGAUUCCCAUCUAGAGAAAACAUCUUGAAAUAAUCCAGGUUGCUCUGGUAUUACAAAGAUUGCUCCUCUCUGUUGUUGUGCUGAAGUUUGCUGUGGCUGGGAGGGACCUGUAUCUUGCACUGCUGGAGGGUAACCUAGUAAUCCCAUAGUUGUAUCAGCUGGUGGUUGAUAAGAAUGGCCAGAAGCAGUUCUAAAUGGUUUGGGGUUAAUCCCUUAGGCUCU